Non-coding RNA from Otolemur garnettii (small-eared galago), 350 nucleotides. Lineage: Eukaryota; Metazoa; Chordata; Mammalia; Primates; Galagidae. The record is from Rfam.
GCCGGGCAUUGUGACGGGCGCCUGUAGUCCCAGCUACUUGGGAGGCUGAGGCAGGAGACUCGCUUGAGUCCAGAAGUUAGAGGUUGCUGUGAGCUGUGAUGCCACAGCACUCUACCCAGGUGGACAGCUUGAGGCUCUGUCUCAAAGAAAAAAAAAAAAAGAAUGAACCUCAAAUAGAAGGGAAAGGAAUCUUCUUCCUCUAAAAUAGGGGGAGGAAAUUUCAGGUAUAGAAAUUUUUUUUUUUUUUUUUUGGAGACAGAGCCUCAAGCUGUUGCCCUGGGUAGAGUGCCGUGGCAUCACAGCUCACAGCAACCUCCAACUCCUGGGCUCAAGCGAGUCUCCUGCAUCAG